GGCGGUUUGCCCGAGUGGUCAAAGGGAGCAGACUGUAAAUCUGCCGGCUCAGCCUACGUUGGUUCGAACCCAACAGCCGCCACCA
RNAcentral lists this transfer RNA (85 nucleotides) under Jatrophihabitans sp. RNAcentral describes it as "tRNA-Tyr". It matches the Rfam family "tRNA". From Rfam's summary of the family: Transfer RNA (tRNA) molecules are approximately 80 nucleotides in length. Their secondary structure includes four short double-helical elements and three loops (D, anti-codon, and T loops). RNAcentral also lists the same sequence under 2 other names. The record is from RNAcentral. Lineage: Bacteria; Bacillati; Actinomycetota; Actinomycetes; Jatrophihabitantales; Jatrophihabitantaceae.